RNAcentral lists this ribosomal RNA (351 nucleotides) under Escherichia coli. Its description in RNAcentral is "partial 23S ribosomal RNA". It matches the Rfam family "Bacterial large subunit ribosomal RNA", at positions 842 to 1191 of the family's 2925-position model. RNAcentral also lists the same sequence under 1 other name. The record is from RNAcentral. Lineage: Bacteria; Pseudomonadati; Pseudomonadota; Gammaproteobacteria; Enterobacterales; Enterobacteriaceae.
GAGAUAGCUGGUUCUCCCCGAAAGCUAUUUAGGUAGCGCCUCGUGAAUUCAUCUCCGGGGGUAGAGCACUGUUUCGGCAAGGGGGUCAUCCCGACUUACCAACCCGAUGCAAACUGCGAAUACCGGAGAAUGUUAUCACGGGAGACACACGGCGGGUGCUAACGUCCGUCGUGAAGAGGGAAACAACCCAGACCGCCAGCUAAGGUCCCAAAGUCAUGGUUAAGUGGGAAACGAUGUGGGAAGGCCCAGACAGCCAGGAUGUUGGCUUAGAAGCAGCCAUCAUUUAAAGAAAGCGUAAUAGCUCACUGGUCGAGUCGGCCUGCGCGGAAGAUGUAACGGGGCUAAACCAUG